Molecule: ribosomal RNA, 407 nt
Filed under: uncultured bacterium
Lineage: Bacteria
Description: partial 16S ribosomal RNA
Rfam family: Bacterial small subunit ribosomal RNA
Source: RNAcentral
AUUGAACGCUGGCGGCAGGCCUAACACAUGCAAGUCGAGCGGAGCGGCGGACGGGUGAGUAAUGCCUAGGAAUCUGCCUGGUAGUGGGGGAUAACGUCCGGACACGGGCGCUAAUACCGCAUACUAUCAGAUCAGCUUCGGUCGGAUUAGCUAGUUUGUGGGGUAAAGGCCUACCAAGGCCACGAUCCGUAACUGGUCUGAGAGGAUGAUCAGUAACACUGGAAAUGGGACACGGUCCAGACUCCUACGGGAGGCAGAAUUGGGGAAUAUUGUACAAUGGGCGAAAGCCUGAUCCAGCCAUGCGGCGUGUGUGAAGAAGGUCUUCGGAUUGUAAAGCACUUUAAGUUGGGAGGCGUUACCAACAGAAUAAGCACCGGCUAACUUCGUGCCAGCCGCCGCGGUAAUAC